RNAcentral lists this ribosomal RNA (497 nucleotides) under uncultured bacterium. Its description in RNAcentral is "partial 16S ribosomal RNA". It matches the Rfam family "Bacterial small subunit ribosomal RNA", at positions 28 to 507 of the family's 1533-position model. The record is from RNAcentral.
GAUGAACGCUGGCGGCGUGCCUAAUACAUGCAAGUCGAGCGAACGGACGAGAAGCUUGCUUCUCUGAUGUUAGCGGCGGACGGGUGAGUAACACGUGGGUAACCUACCUAUAAGACUGGGAUAACUUCGGGAAACCGUAGCUAAUACCGGAUAAUAUUUUGAACCGCAUGGUUCAAAAGUGAAAGACGGUCUUGCUGUCACUUAUAGAUGGAUCCGCGCUGCAUUAGCUAGUUGGUAAGGUAACGGCUUACCAAGGCAACGAUGCAUAGCCGACCUGAGAGGGUGAUCGGCCACACGGGAACUGAGACACGGUCCAGACUCCUACGGGAGGCAGCAGUAGGGAAUCUUCCGCAAUGGGCGAAAGCCUGACGGAGCAACGCCGCGUGAGUGAUGAAGGUCUUCGGAUCGUAAAACUCUGUUAUUAGGGAAGAACAUAUGUGUAAGUAACUGUGCACAUCUUGACGGUACCUAAUCAGGAAGCCACGGCUAACUACGUG